Molecule: unclassified non-coding RNA, 561 nt
Filed under: Hevea brasiliensis (rubber tree)
Lineage: Eukaryota; Viridiplantae; Streptophyta; Magnoliopsida; Malpighiales; Euphorbiaceae
Source: RNAcentral
GAGAGAGAGAGAGAGAUGAUAAAUCAAGCCUGGUCCCUAAAACCCGUGAGACCCAUAAACCCUUUUGGCUGCAUCAUUUCUGGUUCAAUCACCUUACCAAGUAAAAGACAAUACUUCGUCUUGCUUUCGAAUGAGACAACUCGAAACUGGCAUACACCUCNNNNNNNNNNUGUAGUAUUGCCAUCUUAUCCAGCCUCAUUUUGGUCGCCUUCGGUAUGGGUACAAAAUAUCAUCCAGACUCUCUUUUAUGUAGUUCCCAACUCUUCGCAUGUUUCUAGCCACCCCUGAUGCAACCAGGCUUGCAUUCCUUGUAUACCUGCUCAGAAAGUCAUCUCCUGUAGCAUGGGCUGGUUUAUGUGUUCGAGGCUGAUGAAUUUCACGGCCACCUUCUCUACCAUGAACAUGAGCUGGAGCAGAUGCAUUAUCAGCAUUAGCAACUCUUCUAUCCACCAGAAGCUCAAGGCCCACACAGACUGGUAGCUGUGUUUUUGCAACUUGCUUAUCGGUAGAAUGAUCUUUGCUGAUAUACACUGAGUAUCCAGCACAAGCAUAAUAAAAAUC